This 650-nucleotide ribosomal RNA is filed under the name Pseudorhizobium tarimense. RNAcentral's name for it is "bacterial SSU rRNA". It matches the Rfam family "Bacterial small subunit ribosomal RNA", at positions 59 to 757 of the family's 1533-position model. The record is from RNAcentral. Lineage: Bacteria; Pseudomonadati; Pseudomonadota; Alphaproteobacteria; Hyphomicrobiales; Rhizobiaceae.
CAGUCGAGCGCCCCGCAAGGGGAGCGGCAGACGGGUGAGUAACGCGUGGGAAUCUACCCAACCCUACGGAACAACAGUUGGAAACGACUGCUAAUACCGUAUACGCCCUUUGGGGGAAAGAUUUAUCGGGGAUGGAUGAGCCCGCGUUGGAUUAGCUAGUUGGUGGGGUAAAGGCCUACCAAGGCGACGAUCCAUAGCUGGUCUGAGAGGAUGAUCAGCCACAUUGGGACUGAGACACGGCCCAAACUCCUACGGGAGGCAGCAGUGGGGAAUAUUGGACAAUGGGCGCAAGCCUGAUCCAGCCAUGCCGCGUGAGUGAUGAAGGCCCUAGGGUUGUAAAGCUCUUUCACCGGAGAAGAUAAUGACGGUAUCCGGAGAAGAAGCCCCGGCUAACUUCGUGCCAGCAGCCGCGGUAAUACGAAGGGGGCUAGCGUUGUUCGGAAUUACUGGGCGUAAAGCGCACGUAGGCGGACAUUUAAGUCAGGGGUGAAAUCCCGGGGCUCAACCCCGGAACUGCCUUUGAUACUGGGUGUCUUGAGUGUGGAAGAGGUCAGUGGAAUUGCGAGUGUAGAGGUGAAAUUCGUAGAUAUUCGCAGGAACACCAGUGGCGAAGGCGGCUGACUGGUCCACAACUGACGCUGAGGUGCGAA